GUGCUUGCUUUGACAACACAUAUACUAAAAUUGGAAUGAUAGAGAAGAUUAGCAUGGACCCUACACAAGAAUGACAUGCAAAUUUGUGAAGUAUUCCAUAUUUUU
This 105-nucleotide small nuclear RNA is filed under the name Dasypus novemcinctus (nine-banded armadillo). Lineage: Eukaryota; Metazoa; Chordata; Mammalia; Cingulata; Dasypodidae. The record is from RNAcentral.